Long non-coding RNA from Cyprinus carpio (common carp), 777 nucleotides. Lineage: Eukaryota; Metazoa; Chordata; Actinopteri; Cypriniformes; Cyprinidae. The record is from Ensembl.
CUUGCAGUGUGCAGAGCCAUUGGACCUGACAGUGGGUGGCACAGUGGAUUUGUAAAGAAUCAACGCUGCACCUAUGAAUAUGACUGGAGAGAGUAUCAGGCCAAUAGUUAUGAGGUGCUGGUUGAUCCGUGUGGAGGACGUGGUUGGAAAUGGAUGGAAGGGGCACAUUGGAACAUGGUCUCAUAUGAUGAAUCAAAAAGGUUUCCUGGAGUCAAAUACUACGUGUGUAGUGCGACACGUGAUGGCCUUGUAGGGAAGCUUUUCAACACGAGACAAGGCUUUCUUUGCCAUAUUGCCAGGUACAGAGAUACCAGGGAUGGAAGUUUCUAUGCUUUGGUUCCACAACCAUGUACCUGAAGAACGAUACAUGGUUGUGAUUCACUGUUCAGUGCUCAAGUUUCUCUAGUUCAUUUUUCAAGCUUUAAAUUGGUAAAGGUGCUGUAUUUAUCUUUCGCAAGACAUACUAGAUCUUAAUGCAUAGAAGUUCCUAACUCUCGCAAAACAUUUAAGAAAGUGGCACAAACACAUAUUGUUAUUGUUAGUCUUUUUAUUCAGUUAUUUUGCAUUGGGAUCUUUUUAGGAUUAAAAAGAGUUCCAAAACAUAUUGGCUAUUAAUAUUUGAUGAAAGUGAACUAAUGGAGUACAGUACAUUCCCACCUACAGGAUAUGCUAUGUACAUCUGCAGUAAAACCCAAUGUUUUCUGCACAGUCAAUAUAUUAUGAACUCCGUGCCAUAAUGUCCUUUGCUGCCAUCAUGAUGUAAAAUUUGAAAGUGUG